RNAcentral lists this ribosomal RNA (508 nucleotides) under uncultured bacterium. RNAcentral's name for it is "partial 16S ribosomal RNA". It matches the Rfam family "Bacterial small subunit ribosomal RNA", at positions 29 to 523 of the family's 1533-position model. The record is from RNAcentral.
AUUGAACGCUGGCGGCAGGCCUAACACAUGCAAGUCGAGCGGCAGCGGGAAAGUAGCUUGCUACUUUUGCCGGCGAGCGGCGGACGGGUGAGUAAUGCCUGGGCAAUUGCCCAGGCGAGGGGGAUAACAGUUGGAAACGGCUGCUAAUACCGCAUACGCCCUACGGGGGAAAGCAGGGGCUCUUCGGACCUUGCGCGAUGGGAUAUCCCCAGGUGGGAUUAGCUAGUUGGUGAGGUAAUGGCUCACCAAGGCGACGAUCCCUAGCUGGUCUGAGAGGAUGAUCAGCCACACUGGAACUGAGACACGGUCCAGACUCCUACGGGAGGCAGCAGUGGGGAAUAUUGCACAAUGGGGGAAACCCUGAUGCAGCCAUGCCGCGUGUGUGAAGAAGGCCUUCGGGUCGUAAAGCACUUUCAGCGAGGAGGAAAGGUUGGCGCCUAAUACGUGUCAGCUGUGACGUUACUCGCAGAAGAAGCACCGGCUAACUCCGUGCCAGCCGCCGCGGUAA